AAGGCCCUAUCUUCCCUGUUACUUCUUGUGGGAUGGCAGAUAUGGAAUGAAAGGAAUGCUCGUGUCUUCAGGAGCAAAGCGGCGCCGGUGGCGAUUGUCAUGCGAGGCAUCAAAGAGGAAGUUUCGAUUUGGGCCAAUGCAGGUGCUAAGCAUUUGCGUAAUGUAAUACCGCGAGAGUAA
This 180-nucleotide ribosomal RNA is filed under the name Triticum aestivum (bread wheat). RNAcentral's name for it is "partial small subunit ribosomal RNA". Lineage: Eukaryota; Viridiplantae; Streptophyta; Magnoliopsida; Poales; Poaceae. The record is from RNAcentral.